This 465-nucleotide ribosomal RNA is filed under the name uncultured Klebsiella sp. RNAcentral describes it as "bacterial SSU rRNA". It matches the Rfam family "Bacterial small subunit ribosomal RNA", at positions 338 to 795 of the family's 1533-position model. The record is from RNAcentral. Lineage: Bacteria; Pseudomonadati; Pseudomonadota; Gammaproteobacteria; Enterobacterales; Enterobacteriaceae.
CCUACGGGAGGCUGCAGUGGGGAAUAUUGCACAAUGGGCGCAAGCCUGAUGCAGCCAUGCCGCGUGUGUGAAGAAGGCCUUCGGGUUGUAAAGCACUUUCAGCGGGGAGGAAGGCGGUGAGGUUAAUAACCUCAUCGAUUGACGUUACCCGCAGAAGAAGCACCGGCUAACUCCGUGCCAGCAGCCGCGGUAAUACGGAGGGUGCAAGCGUUAAUCGGAAUUACUGGGCGUAAAGCGCACGCAGGCGGUCUGUCAAGUCGGAUGUGAAAUCCCCGGGCUCAACCUGGGAACUGCAUUCGAAACUGGCAGGCUAGAGUCUUGUAGAGGGGGGUAGAAUUCCAGGUGUAGCGGUGAAAUGCAUAGAGAUCUGGAGGAAUACCGGUGGCGAAGGCGGCCCCCUGGACAAAGACUGACGCUCAGGUGCGAAAGCGUGGGGAGCAAACAGGAUUAGAUACCCUUGUAGUC